CUCGGAACUGAGCCCAGUUCUAUCCGGAGGCCCCCUUUCUCCUAUUGCAAUGGUUCCUGAUUAAAAUCUACUGUUACAACUUUAUCUAUUGUCCAGCUCUGGUUCUCUUGGACAGUAGCUGAAGGAAAAUCCACUUCUUUCAUUGAAACUUUAUAUCAAUUGGGCUUCGGGAACAGAGGACAGCCACAAAGGGCUAGUGAGAGUCGAGACAUCGGACGUAAGACUGACAGACAAGCUGUGGUAGAGUUGGUCUAAUCAGUCAGACCAAGUGGAGAACCUGAACCUCCACUUUCCAGAACAAACGGAGCUUCAGAAAGACCCUCAACGUCCACUCCCGGGCUCCACCGUCUGCUGGACAUGAGCCUUGAACAAGUUACCUCCUCUCUCUGUUUGCUUUCUUUUCUGUAAAAUGGGUAUAAUGGUGCCUGGAAAUCAUGCUUCACGGCCUAAAGGAGACGACGGACACUUCGUACAAUGCAGGGCUUGCAGGGCUGGGGGCCUGGACCACCCCCAGCCCUGGCCAGUCCAGGUCUCGCUCCUGCACCAGGCACCUCCUGCCUCCUCCUUUGUCUGGCUGUCCCCAGCAACCGUCCCCUGACUUGGCUCUGUUUUCUGCACUCCAGAAUUUUUUUCACCCUUCCCUUCAGUGUCCCAGCAGUCAGAUGAUGGGACAGUGGUGUUUAGACUAUAGAGACAGACGGUUUGAAUCUCAGCUGGGAUCCAUGUGGCCUCUGACAAGUCAUUCAAACUCUGCAAGCCUCCAUGUCUUCCUAUGUAAAAUGGGUCUAACCAUGCCCACGCACGAGAUUUUUGGUGAGAAAGUGAGAAGAGCCACCUGGAUGGAGCAGAAGGAAUGUUCUAGUUCAGUGUGUGUGCUCCAAGAUGGCCUGUGAAUCCCAGCUCUGCUGCCAUCUGUGUGACCUUGGGCGGGUUCCACAGCCUUGUGUGCCUUGGUUUUCUUACCUGUAAAAUGGUUGCACUUGCAGCACGUACCUCCUGAUGUGAUGACUAUAACGAGUUCAUCUGUGUAAAGUGCUCAGCACAGCGCCCAGCAGGUGGUGAGUGCUCUGUAAACGUUCUGAUAAUAACACAAGCAGUUGUCGUGGUCAUUUCAGGAAGGUCUGCACCUACUUCACGGUGAUUGCUGUGGGAUUACGUGGAUAGUCCACAUUAAGAGCCUGGAACACCGCUGACACGUGGAAGUACGCAGGACAUGAGGACUGGAGCUCCAGGAGCCAUCCUGUGACCACAAGGGGAAAAACCCCUGCCAAAGAAGGCGGUAAGGAGGGUCUCCGAGGGGCUUCCCUAACAGUUUUGGACUGCCCUCCGCUGGACUUCUUUUGCAUAAGAGAAACAUCCUUCCCUAUCCUCUUUAAGCCACUUUUAUUUGUGUUAUCCGUUAAUUGCAGCCAAAUCCAGUCUCAAGAAGCUGAGAAGGGAGUAGCCAUACUACAUUACGGAGGUGUCAAGAUCAUAGCAUGUUAAAUAGGAAAAGGCUCUUAGAAGGCACUUUUUCAACCUCUCCGUGUUACGCAGAAGGAAAUUGAGGCCUGUAAAGAGGAGGGCACAUACCCACGUUCAUAGGGAUCACUCAUGUCCAGCUGGGGCCUCAUCCCAGAGCUCUUUCCUGUAGCUGCAUGCUCUGCUCCAGAGCCUUCUCCACACCUCCCUCUACCUUCCUUUCUGCCCACAGAGGUGGGCCUGCUCUCCCCAGUCCCCUGGCUUCUGUUUCCGUUUAGCCAAUGGGCAGCCCAGGCAGGAGAUUGGAGGGAGGGAGGGAGAUUAGGGACUCUAUUCCUUGGGGAUCACUGGGCGCUGGCUGUGCCUCCUUUCCAGGUGGCCCUCUCCACACAACUCUCGCCUCCUGGGCUCUGGGACUCCCCUCUUUAGGCCUGCUGGCACCAGCCCUAGGGUCUGCAAAGUCCCUGUCAUCUCCCUGCCUCUGCUCACUUUGUGUCCUCUGUGAGCAGUAUUUGAAUUAAUACUCCUUGCAAUAUUACCUGGUCCACCAGCUGGCUGACCUGGGGCCACUCCCUCAACUGCUCCUUGUCUCUGUUGUCUGACGCCUCUUCAUGGAGUUGUCAGUAGGUCUAAGAAAUAACCAGCUAAGCGCCCAGCACGGAGCCAGGUGUGGAAUAAAAUCUCCAUGACUUUUACUUCCUUGAGGCCGGCUGAGGCCGGGCUCCCAUUCUGCCCUCGCUGCGAGGACGGAUUGGGGAGGGGAUGACAGCUCCUCCUCCUGGGGGAGAAUUCCCUGUAGCAGGAGUGAAAGCUUUGUCUUGGAGUUUGCCAAGUCAUCAUGGAAGGGACAAUCACAACCCCAGUGUAGUACCUCAAUCCUGGACCAUCCUCAGUAACUGGCCGUCCCAUUGAUUCCUUUGGCGACCACCCAGCUGCUGUGGGUAGUUUCUGCCAUGUCUCCUUCCCUCCCACCUCACAGGUAGGGCUGGGAGCCUGAAAAGGCAUCUCUAUAUUAAAGGGAGUCCUGGGACACUCCCCCUGGUGUCCUGGACUCACUACGCAACGACUUGACUUAUAAGAGCCAAGCAUGCGCAUCUCUUCCCAAUUCCACAUCAGUGAGACGGUAGCUGGAAAUCGGCCGUGGUGGCAGCAUUUACACCAGAGAAAUGCAAUACGCUUCACACCAGGGCUCUUCCCCAGGGGAGCUGGUUCUCCAACACUUACCAGCACCUCACUAGAUACGCCUCUCCAAAGAUCACCAACAUGACCAUAGGCGGGCUUUGGAAACAAUGCUCAGGUGGUGGUUUCUAACUCAGAUGGAAUCACCAUGGAGCCAGUUGAAGAUGGCAUCCUAGGUCCUACCGUAGCAGGUGUACCUCAGCACCCUUUGUCCACAUGCCACAGGCAGCAACAAAAACAGGGAGCACUCUCACCGUAUACCAGUCCCACCGCUGAAAGCUUUCUGCUCUCACCAACAAAUCAAUCACCUCCUUUCAGGAUACACAGCAAAAAAGUGGUCCUCCUGGAGUUCAUCUCAGCGGACAGAGUGUCAUUUUUGUUGGUUUUGAGUGAUCUUGGAAAAUGCGAAGUCAGUUGUUUUGUGUACUGGCCCAGUCCCAAAACUUGUCACAACCGAGCUCUGUGGGAGGAAAGAUAAAUCAGGAUGGGUGCAAGCCCUGGGGCCUUCACCAGAGUGACACAGCAUCACCAUAGCAUCCACCUCUUAGGAGAAUGGCACCUUCCUGAGACCUUCUAGAAAUAGACAUGCUUCCUUCCAUCUGGCAAAGAGGAUAUGUGCCUAGGGAAAUUCUUAGCUCAAGCUAUCAAAGCUAGACAAGCUGAACUAGAUUUUUCUGAAAAGGCAGAACAGAUAGAAGUGGAGUCAGCGUUUUCCUGGGCUGGGCACGUGAAGCCAAGGGCUAGCUGGAAACUAAGGAGAAGCAGAGGCGGGUGUCGCCAGGUCAAACCAGAUGGGAUGUUAUCAAAGAUCCCACUGGUGUGUCCAGAGAAGGAAAUAGAUCUUACAGAGAUCUGAAGGCAGAGGCAAGAGAAGAAACUAGAAUUGGCGCCCAGAAUUCAGAGUGAUACAAAGCAAGAUACGUAGAGCAGGUGGAGAUGAACAGGGAUGUCCCAGGGUCCCUCUGCCUGGUCCUGGUGCACCAUCGGUGCUCUGGGACAGUCACUGAGAACACUUGUCCUGGCUGGGUAUGACUGGGCGGGAAGGUAUCACUAAACACUUGCUGUUCUAUCUUCUCCUAGUUCUUCCCAACUCUCUAGCAAUCCAGGUUUCCUGCUUCCUGCACUGACUCUGCAAGCUCUAUCCAUUCAUUUAUUCCCACCCACCUUCUGUUGAAACUUUCUGGGACGCUAGGAACAUGAGAGAGGAGGGACAGAUGCUAUACUUUCUGCAGGAUCUCCUGGAGUGGCUGGAACAGUGCCUUCUGGCCAGGCUCCCCCGUAAAUACUUGUCAGCUCAGCCUCUAACCCUUGCUGCCCAGCUGGCCCUCCCCAACAUCAUGCAGCCCCCACAAAGCUCAGCCAUCCCAGCUGUGCACCACCCUUCUGCUCCCGUGCCAGCCUCCCGCGCCUGCUCUCUGACUUCAGGCUUCUUCUCUGGCUCCACAUCAGCUCUGGCUCUUCUUUGUACUCCUGGUUAUCCCACCCCAGCAACCCACUCCAGCCUUCCUUUGUCACACUUGCCUGAUGUUGGUGUCACUUGCAGCUUUGUCCUCUUGAGUCCCUCGUAUCCAAGCCCACAUGCAAGGCAGGUGGAGAGGUGCUCCUAAACAUAACCAUGUUGGGCCAGUCCCCUGGCCUGGUUGGCACGGACACCUGUGACCAUGGCCCAAAUGGAAUAGCAGAGCUUUCAUUCCAGUGGCAAAGCUUCAAGGAUAUUACGAGUUCCCUGGCUCUGGGGAUCCCUGUGUUUCUGUGUGACAGCACCCCGGCAUCUCAGCAGAACAAGAUCCUUUCAUCUCAGGACUGUGCAUUCAGCUCUGUCCACUCGACCUUUCUGUCCACAUUCAGCACAGCAAUAAGGCAGCGCCUUCCAGUCUGGGUCCCCAAACACAUCAUUAGCUGGGAAGACACUGGAAGCACUGCAUUCUUCGGGCUGUGCUGUCAACUUUGACUUCAAAGAUAAAUAGCCCCCCCUGCAGGCGGUGAGGCAGAACUGCAGAGUGGGUGGCUGAGAAAACCUGAAAGGACAACAAAGGUGACCCGUCCAGAUGCAGCAGGCAGCAGCCGGGGAGGAGGCAGGAGAAGCUAAACAAUACUUGUAGAGACUUCCACUCCCAGUCAAGAUGGAAUCAGAUUUACCUUCCACCUGAAGCAACUCAAAAACAAGACAGAAUAAUAAAGCAAUGACACUCAAGACAUUGGACAUUGGACAAUGGAGGAUAGUGAUUUCCUGAGCAAAUGGAAACAGCUGAGAUGUCUUCGCCUCACACUGACUUGGGGAUUGAAUCCGAGAGUUGGAGAGUUGCCCCUAAGAAGAGAAAGGAUGCCGGCUUGACUUUUGACCUCCUUAUGAAACACCGCAAUGAAUCCAUCUGCGAACACACACUGGGCUGGUAGAGACAGACGAGCAGAAAGUGUCUCAAAGCGGCUUCCCAGCAGCCCCUGCCACACAGCCGUCUACAUCUGCAUGCACACAAUUCCGACGCGUUCCGACAAAUGAUGUUUACGUUCGGAAUCCAGCUGUCAAGGGAGAACAGCUGCUGUCAGGUGCUUAAGGGCACCUCGAAGGAGUGUUUUCAGAUUUCAAAAAAACGUGUGAGCCCACACUGUUUCAACUGCUUCCCCGUGGAAGUUGCAGACUGAAGCUUCUUUGUUCCUGCUGAAUGACUCAUGAAUGCCCUUUAAAAGAGAACGAAACAGACAUGUUUUGAUGGGGAAAAUACAUAAAGAAUGCAGUGCAUUUUUCCAAACAGCCGUCAGACCAUCUAAUUUAGGCCAAUAAGGGCAAACUCGCCUGCGUUCUCAGGCUGACCUUCCCAGCGAGGGCCUUGUCCUGGCCCUGGGCUCCUGGGUGAGGGCCGCACUGACCAAGGCAGGAAGGGUAAGGCCAGCUUUCCCAAGGUUGUUAGUCUUCCUGGGGUUCCAUUUGAAAAGAGGCUUCCUGUUCUUCUAGAAGGUUGUUUUUCUUCACUGGGUAAAUCAUUUCCAGUAGCAGUGGGAUGUAAUAAUUGUAAGAAGAUAGUGCGUUUAUAUAGCACUUACUGUGUGCUAAACAUGGUCCAUGUGCAGUAAUUCCUUUAAUCCUCAUAGUAUUCCCAAUGAAUCACUGAGGCACAGAGAUAGUAAGUCAGUCACCCAGGGUCACACAGCUAGUAAGUGGCACAGCUGGGGUACAAACCAGGUGGUGUAGCUACAGAGUCUGGGCUGUGUGUGGUGGAAGGAGCACUUCCCGUGGAGUCGGGAAUCCCGGGUUUGAGUCUGGGCUCUACCCUUUACAAUCUGUGCACUCUGAGCCUUGGUUUCCUACUCUGCAAUUUGAGGUUAAAGCCAGCUCGCAUUGUUAGAGGAUUAGCCGUUGGAGUAGGCCCUCAGCUAAGGUAAGCCGCGCCUGAACGCCGGUGAGCACGGCACAUCCUCCAGGGGCCUUACCCCACUCCCUCCGGUUUUGGGAAGCCCUUCUAUUCUGCAGUGCUGGGUGGAGUAGCAGAAAAAGGCAGGCGAGGGUCCAAUGGGCCUUUAGGACACAGUGACUUAUUGAUGUGAGUGGUCUGGAUUGAUACUGGUAGUGCCCCGCCAACACACACACGCAAUAUAAACAGAUGCAUGGGCUCCUAAUACACACACACCAGAUACACGUACACGUGCUCCUAAUAUACACACACUCACACACAUACACAAACACACACAUACACAUACAUGUACUCCUAAUACACACACACACACACUCACACAACAAACAACUAACCAACCGGAACCCACCAGCGCUGAGCUGCAGUGCCCGUUAGCUGCGUAAAGAAACCCCUGGAGGGUUUACUGUUAACAUCAGUCUUGUGGUGAUCCCGCUGCCUUGGCUUGUAACCCCAGGGCCUAGCUCUGGGUCCUGGGAUACACACAUUUCCAGGGAAUGUGGCUGGUUUACAUCAACUCUGGAUCACUUCUCUUCCCAUUGGGGAAAUCCCAUGUUGUUGAUAAAGGGAAGCAACUAUGAAAUCACAGCAGUGAAAGACAUAGGAAGCGCCCUCUGGUGCAGGGCCCUGAUUUCUGGCACGCGCGGAUGUAUGUCAUCCAGGGCCACCUGCACCCUGAUGUUCUUCUUAACAGGAAGGAAAUAUUUUCACCUGGGUGGGGGAGGGGGCGUUACCUGAAAGUGGUUCUCUCCCCGGUAGAAGCUCCUCACUGAUUCUACCUCCUGCAUGGCAUUUUUGGGCACCUCCCUCCACCCCUACCCCCAGGUUGAGAGCUUCUGCCCUUUAGACCUUAACACCCACGGGGGGUUUACCCAGUGAAGCUGCUCUAAAUGGAGCUGCCCAGUUGAGACCAAUGUCCAGGGAUUGCAUGAAAACCCAGGCUCAAGAUUUGCGUCAAGCACCUAUCAGUUACCCCCAACCUCUCUACUUCCUCAGCUUCAGUGCCCACCUCCCAGAUCUUGCCUCAUGCACCCUGGGGUGCGACAGGCCACUGUGAACCCACCGGUUCAAUUGAUCCUGUUCUUGAUGUUUAGACUUUCUAGUUAUAUAAGCCAAUAAAGUCCCCU
RNAcentral lists this long non-coding RNA (7174 nucleotides) under Equus caballus (horse). RNAcentral describes it as "lncRNA (ENSECAG00000058019.1)". Lineage: Eukaryota; Metazoa; Chordata; Mammalia; Perissodactyla; Equidae. The record is from RNAcentral.